AAAAGAAAAUAUCAGAAUGGGAAAAGUAUGCUUUCAUAGUUUAGUUGUGAUGAUUUGAGAUUAUAAGAAAUUUUACCAAGAAGCAUUGAAUUUGUAGAUUUAAAAUAAUUGCGAUUAUAUGAGAAAUUGUAAUCUUUUCAUUAUAGGCAAUACAUGUACUUUAUUAAAUUUUGUUACUUUAUCUACGAUAGAAGUCAGGAAAUUUAUAAAAUCAAGAACUUAUGAUUCAGCACUAAAGAUUAAAGGAAAAUUGAGCGAUAAACGUAGAAUCGAUUAAGAGAUUAGCGAUAAAUGAUUUCAAUUCAAUUUAGAGAUUUCAGCGUUGAUUAGAUUGCCAAGAAUGAAAUUCCAAUGGGAUAUAAAAUCUUGCUGGGAGAUUAAAUAUAUGCUGAAUAACGUGCACCUGCCGCAUCUCGAGAUGAGGCAUUACUUUCCUGUCGAUAUACCCUCUCUGUAAAAGUUUACUGGGUAUGCAGACCUUAAGAAACGGGGCGUGCUACGAGCAAUGAAAAUGUGUGGCCGUUGUGGCUUUGGUUUCUCAUUUUUUUUUUUUUUUUUUUUUGGCUUUUGCCUCUGCUUUUGGCUGCACCUACGCGUCGCGUCGCUUAAGAUUUAUAUAUAUGGGGGAAACAACAGACUAGAUACACACAUACAUACACACACUUAGACAUAAUAACGCCCUAUGCUUUAGCAUAUAAAACAAAUUAUAAUUUAUAUAUUUCUCGCUUGAUGUUUUUUUAUUUGGGAGUUUCGACAACAUUUGACAACAACACAGGCAUAUUAAAUGUGUAAAAUGGAAAAGAAACAAGCAGAAAAAUAAUAUUUAUUAAUAAUAAUAAAUAGAAACCUGUCCAUAGAUUAUGAAAGGAACUGUUGAUGUAUGAAAUGUAUGCGAUGCGUUUGUAUAAGCAUAAUCAUAAAUCUAUUGGGCCCCGUCAAGGUGUGCGCUGAAGUGUCAGCCAUAAAUUUGAAAUUUAUGUUCAUCUUUUCGGCCAAAGUCAAAGCACAGAGCCAAGAGCACAAAGAAAAUGCUCGCUAUAUGGCAAAGUCGAGUGGGGUCGAGAAGAAGAGACUUUAGUUAGCCAUAAAAUCGUAUAAUUUCAAUUAAAUGCUGCCACGACAGUUGCGUCAUUUCGUCUGACACAUUGGCCCGCUUAUGGCGUUAAUUUCCUCAACCCGCACUGGUUCUUUCUUUCCCCUAUUCACUGAUUCUACAAGUUGUCUUGUGAAAUUGACGAAAUUGACGCUAAUCGCUGUCAUUUGUCUUUAUCUAGGGGCAAAAUGCCUGACAAAUAAACCUAGCAAGAUCGAGCAAGACUUGCUGGCAAUUUUAAUGUGCUUUCGAAAUUUUACAAAUUUUAAUGUGCUUUUUUAUUGAGCAAACUCUUAAUACGAAGAGCUUUAGGCUGUUGGUAAGCCACAAUAUACUUUUAAUCCUUUAUAUGUGCUUUUCGAGAACAUAAAAAAGUGUUUUCAAUUUAUCAUUGCAAUUGACAUCGCAAUUUUAAUGAGCUUGGCUGUCAACUAUAAAAACUUUCUUUUAAUCCACAAAUAUCUGAGAUGUGGCCUGGAAAUCUUUUGAAUCUAAGAGGUUAGUCUCUUUAAUAAGCUGAGGCCACUAAAAGCUCUUCUAGAAUAUUUUAAUGUGCUUAACUCUCAACUAUAAAUUGCUUUUUGACAAUCUAUUUCUCUCAAAUAUUGCUUGGAACUCAAUUGAAUGUAAUUGGUUAAACUCUUUAAUGAGCUUUUUGAGGCUGACAAGCUUUUUAAGAACAUAGAAAUGUGCUUGUCGUGUUUAAUGUGCUUGACUCGCAACUAUAAAGUACUUAUUGUAAGUUGAAAGCUUUCGAGAUCUUUUAAAUGUGCUUUCAAUACAUUUAACAUACGAACAAUUAUGCGAUCUUUGCAACUUUAAUGUGCUUUCUUUAAAUCCUCAAAUCUCUUUAAUGAGCUUUUUGAGGCUAACAAACUUUUUAAGAACUUAAGAAUGUGCUUGUCGUGUUUAAUGUGCUUGACUCACAACUAUAAAGUACUUUUUGUAAGUUGAAAGCUUUCGAGAUCUUUUGAAUGUGCUUUCAAUACAUGCAACAUACGAACAAUUAUGCGAUCUUUGCAACUUUAAUGUGCUUUGUGUUUCGCUAAAACCAAGUUGACUGCUAAUGUUGUUGCUAAUGACAUUUUCAGUUAAGUUUUUGUUUAUUUUUCGCUUUCAUUCGACUGCCAACAGUUCCCGUUGCAUAAGCAUUAACAAGCCAAGUCAUCAAAGAGCCCAAUUCUCACACAAUCAGCCCACCUAUCCACGCAAACGGCUCAUUAAACUCCCAGACAAAAAACGAAAAUACAAAAAAAAAAUUGAAAAAAAGCAAAAACAAAACAGAAAUACAUAAAAUAAAAGUUGACCUUCAAAAACGCACAGAAAUCAAACAACAAUUACAAAAACAACAAAGCGACUCAACCAAGCGAAAAUCAAACCCAAAUACACACACACACAUCUGCAUACGCUUACGCCUGAGUGUGUGUGUGUGUGUGUCGUAUACAUAGAUGGUGUUUCGCUUGGAAACAGGUUGUUGUUGUUGUCUGUGUGAGUGUUUCUUUUUUUUUUUUUUGUUUUUGUGUUAUUGUUAACAUUUAUUUCAUUAUGCUUUUUUUAAGAGCCAAAAAGUUGAGUUGAGAGCUACGCAAACUUUCGCACACACGCAAAGAGUCAUCACACACACACACACGCACGCACACACACAGAGAGUCAGUCAGUCAGUCAGCAAACAAAGAAACUGAAAUUGGCGCAGCAAAAGUAAUUCAAAUAUAGAAUGGCAAAAAAUAAAAGAAAUAAAUAAAUGACAACAACUGAAUUUGAUUGCACUUCAAUUUGAAAUAAAUUUUGAAUGUGGCCAACGAUUAUUUUCAAAUAAUCUACAAAAAAAAUUGUGCAAUGUCUCUGAUGUCAUCCACAACAAACGAUUUUUUUUAUCUCUGUAAGAAGCGGAAAAAAAGAUAUCUUUCACGUGCCGAAGUGCAAAUACACUUACAGCAACUGAAGUCAAUCAAAUUCGCUUGAGACAAUCAGAAAAUUAAGUUUUGUUGAUGGUAGAAACGAGGCACAAAAAGCUUUUAAGUACUAAAACUAUUUUUUAUUUAUUUUGAUAAUGCCAUUAUGUUUUAUAUUCUUUUUAUUACGAAUGUACAAUUCAUAUAGAAGAGGGUCGUAAAAAAUAUUGCACGAUAUAAUAUGAUAUGAUAUGUGAUGGAAGAGAGACACACACACUCAUCAAUAUAACUGCAGCGAACACGUGCCGAAUUCGCUAAUGAAUAGGCAAAAAAAAGCAACGGCUUUGAGGUGUUAAUCAGACGUUGAAAAAAAGGCGCCAAAAAUUUGUUAGACUCGCGCAGCCAAAUUCUAAUCAUAAAUGGACGUUGUUUCUUCUGCUCUUUCCCACUUCAAAAGUCGUGUGCGUGCUUGUAUUGCUGUUGUUGUUGUUGUUGCUGUCGCUUUUCUCUUGCGAGUGAGUAAGUGCGUGCUCUUGUGUGUUGGUGUGUGUGUGUGUAAGACUGACAUACGCGCGCGCGUAUCUAGAUAAAUAUCGCUGACUACAAAAGCACACAAACAUAUGCGAGAGUGUGUGCUUGCGCGUGAGUGUGUGUGAAAAUACACUUGAGGCGUGCUACUGUACAUACGCAACGUUGGCUGCGCAGCCAACAGCGUCUCGUAUAGGCCUAUGAGUAAGUUCGUGAUGGCAACGACCAACAACAACAACAGCAACAACAAGGCGCAAAACAAUCGUAAACAGAUCAUCGAACUCCCUUUUGCAAAAGCGUGUGAGUUGUUUUUGUUGUUAUUGUUAUUGUUCCUGCUGCUGUUGGCCUUGAAGUGUGUGCGCUUUUUGUAUUUUUGGUCACUAUUUAAUUUUCAUUAAUUAAAAGCUGUUUUUUUUUCUUUCCUUUAAAUAUUAAUUGAGUUGGCAACGCGUGCGGCGCCCACGCAAAACAACAGCAACAAACGAUUGCAGCAGCAACAACUUCAAAGCGACAAGCAAAAAACAGCUUUCACCGUUUGCCUUCGCUUGCGUCAUAUUCGAUUUGCGUGCGCGACAAAGCUACACGAAGUCGCUGCUGCAUCGGCAUGUUGCUGCUGCCGUCGCUGCAGCAGCAAUUCAACACAGCAAAACACAACACAACACAGAGGGCAACAAACCACCACCAAAACAUUAGCAGCAGCAGCAGCAGAGCAUUGACAGCGAUAGCGACAGCAGCGGCAGAGGCAGCGCAGUGGCAGCAGCCAACCAGCAGCGGCAGCGACAAGCCGACAAGCGAGUUCGGCUUCGGCUUUUUUGUCGCUUUGUAGCGCGUCAGUCGCUGGUUGACGGCGAACGCGUUCAGUUGUGUUAACGGUAAAACGCAUGCUUGCUCCUGCCUGGUCGUGGUUGUUGUUGCUGUUGCUGUUACUGCUGCUGUUGAACUGGAAAUUCUUGAUCGCUCGUUUCGAAUUCGUAUUCGUGUGUUCGUGUGUGUGUGUAUGCGAGUUGCACUUGUAGCGCUGCUGCUGCUGAUGACUGCGACGGCGACUGCGACGGUCGCUGCUGCUGCUGCUGCUUACGUGCCCAAGUGAACGUCAACGUUUUCUAAUCUGACGAUUAUCGAUUGAUAGCAAGAGCAGCAGUCGCAGCAGCAGCAGAUAAGCGAACGUCUCGGCUGCAGCAGCAGCGACAGCAACAGCAACACACAUACCCUCUCGCACACACACACACGGACAUUCGACGAUCCCGCGACAGCGACGCCGCCGCGCAGCCGCAGUCGACGCCGCCCGCUUUCGAGUUAUUUUCUGCGCGACUCUGUUGCGUUUGUCUCAGUUCACUUUUGGAGCUGCCACUAAACGUUAACAAAUUGCUCCGUGUUUUUUGCUGCCGUCGCGAUGCGAAAUUUUCGUUGCGCGUUUCGUUUUCUCCAUAAUAUUUCGUACAAUAAAAAAAAUACAAGUUGGCAAAAAUAAAAUAAAAAUUAAACAAGCUAAAUUCAAUUUGAAACCCGUUGAAAACUGAUAAAAUAAAAUCUCUUUGUGUUUAAAAAGAUUUUCUUUUAAAUUAACAAUGUGUUGCAAUAAGAAAAAUAUCGAAUUAAUUAAAAUGAAACGACACAAAACUAAAGUCAAACGAAUAAAAAACGAAAACGAAACAAAAAUCAUAAAUAAAAGAAAAAGCCACAAUAUUUCAAUCGAACCUAAAAAUAAAUUGCCAUAAACUUGCCAUAAAAAAUACGCUAUCAAAAUUCAAAAUCAAUCGAUUAACAAUUUUGCAUCAAGUCGUAAAAAAACACCAAUAAAAACUUGAGCCUUUUUUGGCAAUAACAAUUAAUCUUGUAAAACGCUUUUGACGUCAACUAAUUUAGUAAUUUAACAAUUUAUUUUAAAAACUUACAAACUGAAAACAGAAAAAGAAUUCCGAAAAAAUACAAAGUGCAAAGAACUUUUCAAGAAAAAACACAAGAAAGUUGCAAAGCAAAAAGAGAAGCAAAAAAAAUAUGUUGGAAUCUUCUGAAUCCAAGUGAAGAGAAGAGAAGAGAUGAGAGGAGAGAUGGAAAAAGAAGAAUCUGAAAAAAAUGCUACCUGGUUUUUGCCAUCAGCGAGGUAUAGAGUUCCUACGUUCAAUUUAAAUACUCGUAGGAACUUCAUACCGUGCUCUUGGAAGACCAAAAAACAACAAAAACAAACUACAAAGUAAUACAUACAACAACAACAACAACAGCAAGAAAAACGUAAGCAAAAACCACAACAAGAAGCUAAAGAAAAAAGAACGCGAUUUAAACCGCACAAAAAACGCUAGCGACUUUUGCAUGCAGUGAAACGUGCUAAAAAAAAAAGCAAAUCUGAAAACUAAAAUCUGAAAACUGUUACGUGUCGUUUGAAGCUUACAAAACAAG
Long non-coding RNA from Drosophila sulfurigaster albostrigata, 5910 nucleotides. RefSeq lists it as uncharacterized. The transcript is spliced from 2 exons. NCBI's taxonomy places the organism in Eukaryota, Metazoa, Arthropoda, Insecta, Diptera, Drosophilidae. The record is from RefSeq and is a predicted model, not a curated record.